RNAcentral lists this ribosomal RNA (406 nucleotides) under uncultured bacterium. RNAcentral's name for it is "partial 16S ribosomal RNA". It matches the Rfam family "Bacterial small subunit ribosomal RNA", at positions 29 to 526 of the family's 1533-position model. The record is from RNAcentral.
AUUGAACGCUGGCGGCAGGCCUAACACAUGCAAGUCGAACGAGUGGCGGACGGGUGAGUAAUGUCUGGGAAACUGCCUGAUGGAGGGGGAUAACUACUGGAAACGGUAGCUAAUACCGCAUACCAUCGGAUGUGCCCAGAUGGGAUUAGCUAGUAGGUGGGGUAAAGGCUCACCUAGGCGACGAUCCCUAGCUGGUCUGAGAGGAUGACCAGCCACAGUGGAACCGAGAAAAGGUCCAGACUCCUACGGGAGGGAGGAGGGGGGAAAUAUGGACAAUGGGCGGAAGGCUUAUGGAGGCAAGCCGGGGGGAAUAAGGAGGCCUUUGGGUUGGAAAGGACUUUCAGGGGGGAGGCGUUACCCGCAGAAGAAGCACCGGCUAACUCCGUGCCAGCAGCCGCGGUAAUAC